RNAcentral lists this transfer-messenger RNA (353 nucleotides) under Bryobacteraceae. RNAcentral's name for it is "CADEFT01 sp016789755 Standard tmRNA". It matches the Rfam family "transfer-messenger RNA". Rfam says of the family: Bacterial tmRNA, also known as 10Sa RNA or SsrA, is named for its dual tRNA and mRNA-like properties. RNAcentral also lists the same sequence under 1 other name. Lineage: Bacteria; Pseudomonadati; Acidobacteriota; Terriglobia; Bryobacterales. The record is from RNAcentral.
GGGGGCGUAAAGGUUUCGACGGGUUAGUACUGGCUUGGGAAGGCGUGCCGGGUUCCGAGCUCCCGUAAAACGAUCGGAAAACCAUAACUGCCAAUAACACGCAGUUUGCAUACGCUGCCUAAUCUUUAGGUAGCCGUCACUGGUAGCGAGCCCGUGCGCUACUGGCAGGCGUAACUUUACGGGAUAGGGUGGCAGCUUCUGCUCGUAGCUGUUCACUUGAGAUCAACCGGGCUAGGGGAAUGGGGUCUUGCCGGUUCAGAACUGUUCUCCGAAAUUUCAGAACACGGCUACGCACGUAGGCUUUUCAGGGUAGGCUUUCUCGGACGCGGGUUCGAUUCCCGCCGCCUCCACCA